RNAcentral lists this ribosomal RNA (613 nucleotides) under Bacillus sp. FJAT-4493. RNAcentral's name for it is "bacterial SSU rRNA". It matches the Rfam family "Bacterial small subunit ribosomal RNA", at positions 64 to 657 of the family's 1533-position model. Lineage: Bacteria; Bacillati; Bacillota; Bacilli; Caryophanales; Bacillaceae. The record is from RNAcentral.
GAGCGGAGUUUUGAAAGCUUGCUUUUCAAAACUUAGCGGCGGACGGGUGAGUAACACGUGGGCAACCUGCCCUUGAGACGGGGAUAACUCCGGGAAACCGGAGCUAAUACCGGAUAACACAUAUCUUCGCAUGAGGAUAUGUUAGAAGGUGGCUUUUAGCUACCACUCAAGGAUGGGCCCGCGGCGCAUUAGCUAGUUGGUGAGGUAACGGCUCACCAAGGCGACGAUGCGUAGCCGACCUGAGAGGGUGAUCGGCCACACUGGGACUGAGACACGGCCCAGACUCCUACGGGAGGCAGCAGUAGGGAAUCUUCCGCAAUGGACGAAAGUCUGACGGAGCAACGCCGCGUGAGUGAUGAAGGUUUUCGGAUCGUAAAGCUCUGUUGUUAGGGAAGAACAAGUACCUGUUAAAUAAGCAGGUACCUUGACGGUACCUAACCAGAAAGCCACGGCUAACUACGUGCCAGCAGCCGCGGUAAUACGUAGGUGGCAAGCGUUGUCCGGAAUUAUUGGGCGUAAAGCGCGCGCAGGCGGUUCCUUAAGUCUGAUGUGAAAGCCCACGGCUCAACCGUGGAGGGUCAUUGGAAACUGGGGAACUUGAGUGCAGAAGAGG